GACGAACGCUGGCGGCGUGCCUAAUACAUGCAAGUCGAACGAGAGCAACCGGUGCUUGCACUGGUCAAUCUAGUGGCGAACGGGUGAGUAACACGUGGGUAACCUGCCCAUCAGAGGGGGAUAACAUCCGGAAACGGAUGCUAAAACCGCAUAGGUCUUCGAACCGCAUGGUUUGAAGAGGAAAAGAGGCGCAAGCUUCUGCUGAUGGAUGGACCCGCGGUGCAUUAGCUAGAUGGUGAGGUAACGGCUCACCAAGGCCGUGAUGCAUAGCCGACCUGAGAGGGUGAUCGGCCACAUUGGGACUGAGACACGGCCCAAACUCCUACGGGAGGCAGCAGUAGGGAAUCUUCCGCAAUGGACGCAAGUCUGACGGAGCAACGCCGCGUGAGUGAAGAAGGUUUUCGGAUCGUAAAACUCUGUUGUUAGAGAAGAACAAGUGCUAGAGUAACUGUUAGCGCCUUGACGGUAUCUAACCAGAAAGCCACGGCUAACUACGUG
This 498-nucleotide ribosomal RNA is filed under the name uncultured bacterium. Its description in RNAcentral is "partial 16S ribosomal RNA". It matches the Rfam family "Bacterial small subunit ribosomal RNA", at positions 28 to 507 of the family's 1533-position model. The record is from RNAcentral.